GAGCCAACACUAACACACAAACAUACACCUAUAUACAAACAAAACAUUUGAUAAACCCAGUAGAUGAGACUGAACAGUAAAUUCACCCAGUACCGCAAGGGAAAUUAAACAAGCAAUAAAUAGCAAAGAUCAACCCUCGUACCUUUCGUAUCAUGGCUAUGCAAGAAAUCAAAGACAAGAAGAAUCAUAGCCUUCACCCCGAAACCAGAUGAGCUACUUUCAAGCAGCUAAUUAGAGCUCACCCUCCUCUGUAGCAAAAGAGUGGGAAGACUUAAAAGUAGAAGUGAAACGCCUACCGAAUCUGGAGAUAGUCGGCUACCCCAAAAAGAAUAUAAGUUCACCACAGACCACAAGAGCCGUUCUUCCUGAGGAACUAGUGGGGUACAGCCCAUGAAACAGGAUACAACCUGAAUUUGAGAGAAUAGAACAAUCACUAAUCAGUAGGCCUUAAAGCAGCCACCUAAUAAAAUAUCGUUAAAGAAUUAUUAAACCUAAUCCCAUACUAAGCUUUCAAACUCCAAACAAACUAAGGGUAGACCCAUAAUAAUGGGUACUAUUAUGCUAGAACUAAUAAUAAGACAACCUCUCUUUAUGCACCCUUCCACUAAAAUCGGACCAACCACUAGCUAUUAACAUACCACACCAGGCACUAAACCAAACAAUACACAACUUAAAACUUAACUGUCACCCCAACACAGGCGCAUAAAAAAGAAAGAUUUACUAUUAUAAAAGGAACUCGGCAAACAAAGAUUCCAACUGUUUAACAAAAACAUAACCUUUAGACUAACUAAUAUUAAAGGCAACGCCUGCCCAGUGAACAUUAAACGGCCGCGGUACCCUAACCGUGCAAAGGUAGCAUAAUCAUUUGUCUACUAAUUAUAGACCUGUAUGAAAGGCAAAAUGAGAAUCUAACUGUCUCUUAUAAUUGACCAAUUAAACUGAUCUUCUAGUAAAAAAGCUAGAAUUAAACCAUAAGACCAGAAGACCCUGUGAAGCUUUAACUAAACUAUUAAAUCCUAUAAUACCUACUUUCGGUUGGGGCGACCUUGGAAAUAAAAAGAACUUCCAAUACAUACAACCUAUCUAAAACCAAACCUAGGCCAACAAGCCAAUUAAUGACCCAGUAAAUCUGAAUUGAACCAAGUUACUCCAGGGAUAACAGCGCAAUCCCCUUCAAGAGCCCAUAUCAAAAAGGGUUUACGACCUCGAUGUUGGAUCAGGACAUCCUAAUGGUGCAGACGCUAUUAAGGGUUCGUUUGUUCAACGAUUAA
Molecule: ribosomal RNA, 1271 nt
Filed under: Oligodon octolineatus
Lineage: Eukaryota; Metazoa; Chordata; Lepidosauria; Squamata; Colubridae
Description: partial 16S ribosomal RNA
Rfam family: Bacterial large subunit ribosomal RNA
Source: RNAcentral